RNAcentral lists this long non-coding RNA (1476 nucleotides) under Mus spicilegus (steppe mouse). RNAcentral describes it as "lncRNA (ENSMSIG00000026943.1)". Lineage: Eukaryota; Metazoa; Chordata; Mammalia; Rodentia; Muridae. The record is from RNAcentral.
CUGAAUUCAUCUCACUUCUCCCCCAAAAUAUGACUAUAUGAUUAUAACUUCUCAAUAAUGUUGUUUGGCAUAGACAUAGCUUAUGCAAGACCUCUUGGCUUUUUAAAAUCCCCUGUAUUUCUGAUCUUUUAGAUCUUUCUCCUCAUGACUCUGUCACUGAAGAAUGACCUGGUCCUGGUCAAGAACAGUACAAACAGGAUCAAGAUUCAGGAGGGAACUGAACAUUCCAUGUUAGAUAGUAACUGGAGCUGGAGUGGGGUCACUCAAGUUUUGGUGUUAAUGAAUUCCACAAGAUGACCAAGCACUUCCAACUGCAAAAGAUGGAACGAUUGUUUGAUUUCAGAGAAGAAAAACUUAAUUCAAUCCGUUCCAAAAGGGAGGCAAAUUUCCAGGCUAGCAUGAGUGAAGUCAGGAGCUUCAGAUACCAUCUGACCUGGAAGUUUAUGAUGUUACAGAAUAUACUGAGAACCAUAUACCCCUGCAAGUGUCAAGAGUCAGUUUUGAUCUGCCUUAAAAUAGUAACGAAUGAUAAUGUCUCCAAAUAUUACAUCUGCCAAUAUCCAGCUGAUUUCCUUGGAAUUUUGGAGAGGUCUAAGGAGCGAAUCCACUCUUAAAGUUGUCUAUUUAUGAUUCCAAAGAGGACACAAAGGGAAGUUGUCUUCACUGCAUAAUUACUCUGGGCAACUCUGCCUGCGGAGUACCUGCCGCUUAUGAGGCCCACACAGAAAGGAGCGCAAAGCUCACAGCAAGAGCCGCCUUCUGUCUUUGUUCCAAGAAGCUGAUUGUUUCCCACUUGCUGGGCAAGCCUAUGCCCAGACUGUCUUUGCUUUCCUACUUGAAAGCAAGCCCUUGCGAAGGAAGACAUGUUGAGACUCACAGAACACACGUCUUGGAAGGAACCGUCGAGACCUCUAUGUUCAGCUUCCCCUCUUUUCUCAAAAACUGUAAAAAGUUCACUUCAGUGAGUCUGAAGCAUCGUGACAAAUAUCUCCAGCAAUAGGCUUUUACCUUCAAUAGCAACAGCAACAGGCAGUUCAAGAAGGUGCCGCGGAAAGGGACAAGCUUCCUGAUAGAUUAUCCAAGGCCAAGGGGACAGCCAUAAAUACACGUACACAUGAGCAACACUAGCCGGGUUCGGCAGGUUGUAUUAAAUACACUUACAUAUAUAUGUUCGUUCGUGUAACAGUAAGAAUUAAGGAGGACGAGGUCAUGAUUUUGAGAGGGAGUUGAGACUGAGAAACAUUGGAAGAGCUGGGUGGGGAGGAGUCAGGUGGAAGUGAUGUAAACACUCGUGAAAUUCUCAGGAAAAAAAAAAAGACUCCAGAAAAACGUUACAUUGGAAAAGAAGCAUUUUUGAAUUUCACAGUCCUUCCCUCUGACAUAGAUACUCGCUCCAUUCUUUUAACUCCAAACCAUCAUAUGUAUAGUGCAGUGUAAUGCCAGAUGAUAGAGAUUACAUCCGUGUAUGAGCCUCUC